GACAGAGGGUGCAAGCGUUGUCCGGAUUUAUUGGGCGUAAAACGUCUGUAGGCGGUUUAUUAAGUCUGAAGUGAAAUAGUUGAGCUUAACUCAAUCCCUGCUUUAGAUACUGAUGAACUAGAGUGCGUUAGGGGUUAUUGGAAUUCCCGGUGUAGUGGUGAAAUGCGUAGAUAUCGGGAGGAACUCCAGUGGCGAAAGCGAAUAACUGGGGCGUAACUGACGCUGAGAGACGAAAGCGUGGGGAGCAAACAGG
Molecule: ribosomal RNA, 253 nt
Filed under: uncultured bacterium
Lineage: Bacteria
Description: partial 16S ribosomal RNA
Rfam family: Bacterial small subunit ribosomal RNA
Source: RNAcentral